RNAcentral lists this long non-coding RNA (550 nucleotides) under Mustela putorius furo (domestic ferret). RNAcentral describes it as "lncRNA (ENSMPUG00000024398.1)". Lineage: Eukaryota; Metazoa; Chordata; Mammalia; Carnivora; Mustelidae. The record is from RNAcentral.
CUGGGGAGGAUUUCAAUCAUCAUGACUGUCACGACCCAGAGCCAGCCUCCCGCUCUCACCAGUCCCUGGGGAGCUGAACCCCCGUCACAUUUUCUUAGCCUUCUCUUUCAUCUCAACUAGCCCUUUCUCCACAAGCGGCCCCUACAUCAUCUUUGAAGGCUGGCACAAACCAGAAGGGAGGGAGGAAAGGAGGGGAGUGGCCUGUGGGGACAUCCCCAGGAAAGAGCUUUGUUUGUGCUCCAGGACAGCUGUCUUGAGGUUCCAUUCAAGAAGGCUGGGCCGGGACAGCCACCAGCCCAACCUUGGGACUGGCUGGAGCCCUCUUGCCCCCCCCCCCCCACGGCAUCUGUGGUCUGGACCAGGCCGGCUGAACCUGGGGCUGGCCAUUUUGAGCAGUGUCAUGGUCACUGCCUCUGACCUCAUCGACCGCAUUGUCCCACCCACCCAUUCUGUACCCAGUGCUCCUGGGCUCCCAUUCUGGCCACUCUCCCACUCAGGCACCGGCUCCCUACGACCUACAGAUUUGGGUUCAGAUGCCUUUCCUUACUAG